GGGGAAUGGGUCUGCUUGGGGUGGACGCCGCACUUGCAAUGCGGAGAUCAGAUCGGUUCAAAUCCGAUACUCUCCA
Molecule: transfer RNA, 76 nt
Filed under: Yersinia phage fHe-Yen9-04
Lineage: Duplodnaviria; Heunggongvirae; Uroviricota; Caudoviricetes
Description: tRNA-Pseudo-TGC
Rfam family: tRNA
About the family: Transfer RNA (tRNA) molecules are approximately 80 nucleotides in length. Their secondary structure includes four short double-helical elements and three loops (D, anti-codon, and T loops).
Source: RNAcentral